UAAAGAAUUUCGGUAUGGGAUGGGGAUGCGUUCCAUUAGUUAGUUGGCGGGGUAACGGCCCACCAAGACAACGAUGGAUAGGGGUUCUGAGAGGAAGGUCCCCCACAUUGGAACUGAGACACGGUCCAAACUCCUACGGGAGGCAGCAGUGAGGAAUAUUGGUCAAUGGACGAGAGUCUGAACCAGCCAAGUAGCGUGAAGGAUGACUGCCCUAUGGGUUGUAAACUUCUUUUAUAUGGGAAUAAAAUGUUCCACGUGUGGGAUUUUGUAUGUACCAUAUGAAUAAGGAUCGGCUAACUCCGUGCCAGCAGCCGCGGUAAUACGGAGGAUCCGAGCGUUAUCCGGAUUUAUUGGGUUUAAAGGGAGCGUAGGUGGAUUGUUAAGUCAGUUGUGAAAGUUUGCGGCUCAACCGUAAAAUUGCAGUUGAAACUGGCAGUCUUGAGUACAGUAGAGGUGGGCGGAAUUCGUGGUGUAGCGGUGAAAUGCUUAGAUAUCACGAAGAACUCCGAUUGCGAAGGCAGCUCACUGGACUGCAACUGACACUGAGGCUCGAAAGUGUGGGUAUCAAACAGGAUUAGAUACCCUGGUAGUCCA
This 594-nucleotide ribosomal RNA is filed under the name uncultured bacterium. RNAcentral's name for it is "bacterial SSU rRNA". It matches the Rfam family "Bacterial small subunit ribosomal RNA", at positions 202 to 797 of the family's 1533-position model. The record is from RNAcentral.